AUUGAACGCUGGCGGCAGGCCUAACACAUGCAAGUCGAGCGGAUGAAGGGAGCUUGCUCCUGGAUUCAGCGGCGGACGGGUGAGUAAUGCCUAGGAAUCUGCCUGGUAGUGGGGGAUAACGUCCGGAAACGGGCGCUAAUACCGCAUACGUCCUGAGGGAGAAAGUGGGGGAUCUUCGGACCUCACGCUAUCAGAUGAGCCUAGGUCGGAUUAGCUAGUUGGUGGGGUAAAGGCCUACCAAGGCGACGAUCCGUAACUGGUCUGAGAGGAUGAUCAGUCACACUGGGACUGAGACACGGUCCAGACUCCUACGGGAGGCAGCAGUGGGGAAUAUUGGACAAUGGGCGAAAGCCUGAUCCAGCCAUGCCGCGUGUGUGAAGAAGGUCUUCGGAUUUUAAAGCACUUUAAGUUGGGAGGAAGGGCAGUAAGUUAAUACCUUGCUGUUUUGACGGUACCAACAGAAUAAGCACCGGCUAACUUCGUG
Molecule: ribosomal RNA, 484 nt
Filed under: uncultured bacterium
Lineage: Bacteria
Description: partial 16S ribosomal RNA
Rfam family: Bacterial small subunit ribosomal RNA
Source: RNAcentral